CGAAAGCCUGACGGAGCAACGCCGCGUGGGGGAAGAAGGUUCUUGGAUUGUAAACCCCUUUUCUCAGGGAAGAAGAUCUGACGGUACCUGAGGAAUCAGCCUCGGCUAACUCCGUGCCAGCAGCCGCGGUAAUACGGAGGAGGCAAGCGUUAUCCGGAAUUAUUGGGCGUAAAGCGUUCGUAGGCGGUCGUUCAAGUCUGCUGUCAAAGACCGAGGCUCAACCUCGGGUCGGCAGUGGAAACUGGAUGAUUAGAGAUCGGUAGGGGCAGAGGGAAUUCCCAGUGUAGCGGUGAAAUGCGUAGAUAUUGGGAAGAACACCGGUGGCGAAAGCGUUCUGCUGGGCCGCGCCUGACCCUGAGGGACGAAAGCCAGGGGAGCG
RNAcentral lists this ribosomal RNA (379 nucleotides) under uncultured cyanobacterium. Its description in RNAcentral is "bacterial SSU rRNA". It matches the Rfam family "Bacterial small subunit ribosomal RNA", at positions 376 to 770 of the family's 1533-position model. The record is from RNAcentral. Lineage: Bacteria; Bacillati; Cyanobacteriota.